UUCGCAAUGCCCGAAAGGGUGACGAAGCGACGCCGCGUGAGCGAAGAAGGCCCUAGGGUUGUAAAGCUCUGUCAGGGGUUAAGAAAUGUAAAUAGGUUAAUACCCUGUUUAUUUGACAAAAGCCCCAAAGGAAGCCACGGCUAACUCUGUGCCAGCAGCCGCGGUAAUACAGAGGUGGCAAGCGUUGUUCGGUAUUAUUGGGCGUAAAGAGCACGUAGGUGGUUUUGUAAGUCAGAUGUGAAAGCCUUCUGUUCAAAGGAAGAACGGCAUCUGAAACUGCAAAUCUUGAGUGUAGGAGGGGAGAGUGGAACUUCUGGUGGAGCGGUGAAAUGCGUAGAUAUCAGAAGGAACGUCGGCGGCGAAAGCGACUCUCUGGCCUAUUACUGACACUGAGUGUGCGAAAGUUAGGGGAGCAAACGGGAUUAGAUACCCCGGUAGUCCUAACCGUAAACGAUGGGCACUAAGUAGAGGGGUUUU
Molecule: ribosomal RNA, 477 nt
Filed under: Candidatus Scalindua wagneri
Lineage: Bacteria; Pseudomonadati; Planctomycetota; Candidatus Brocadiia; Candidatus Brocadiales; Candidatus Scalinduaceae
Description: bacterial SSU rRNA
Rfam family: Bacterial small subunit ribosomal RNA
Source: RNAcentral